This 2125-nucleotide ribosomal RNA is filed under the name Escherichia coli HVH 139 (4-3192644). RNAcentral's name for it is "bacterial LSU rRNA". It matches the Rfam family "Bacterial large subunit ribosomal RNA", at positions 823 to 2925 of the family's 2925-position model. Lineage: Bacteria; Pseudomonadati; Pseudomonadota; Gammaproteobacteria; Enterobacterales; Enterobacteriaceae. The record is from RNAcentral.
GAAAGGCCAAUCAAACCGGGAGAUAGCUGGUUCUCCCCGAAAGCUAUUUAGGUAGCGCCUCGUGAAUUCAUCUCCGGGGGUAGAGCACUGUUUCGGCAAGGGGGUCAUCCCGACUUACCAACCCGAUGCAAACUGCGAAUACCGGAGAAUGUUAUCACGGGAGACACACGGCGGGUGCUAACGUCCGUCGUGAAGAGGGAAACAACCCAGACCGCCAGCUAAGGUCCCAAAGUCAUGGUUAAGUGGGAAACGAUGUGGGAAGGCCCAGACAGCCAGGAUGUUGGCUUAGAAGCAGCCAUCAUUUAAAGAAAGCGUAAUAGCUCACUGGUCGAGUCGGCCUGCGCGGAAGAUGUAACGGGGCUAAACCAUGCACCGAAGCUGCGGCAGCGACGCUUAUGCGUUGUUGGGUAGGGGAGCGUUCUGUAAGCCUGCGAAGGUGUGCUGUGAGGCAUGCUGGAGGUAUCAGAAGUGCGAAUGCUGACAUAAGUAACGAUAAAGCGGGUGAAAAGCCCGCUCGCCGGAAGACCAAGGGUUCCUGUCCAACGUUAAUCGGGGCAGGGUGAGUCGACCCCUAAGGCGAGGCCGAAAGGCGUAGUCGAUGGGAAACAGGUUAAUAUUCCUGUACUUGGUGUUACUGCGAAGGGGGGACGGAGAAGGCUAUGUUGGCCGGGCGACGGUUGUCCCGGUUUAAGCGUGUAGGCUGGUUUUCCAGGCAAAUCCGGAAAAUCAAGGCUGAGGCGUGAUGACGAGGCACUACGGUGCUGAAGCAACAAAUGCCCUGCUUCCAGGAAAAGCCUCUAAGCAUCAGGUAACAUCAAAUCGUACCCCAAACCGACACAGGUGGUCAGGUAGAGAAUACCAAGGCGCUUGAGAGAACUCGGGUGAAGGAACUAGGCAAAAUGGUGCCGUAACUUCGGGAGAAGGCACGCUGAUAUGUAGGUGAAGUCCCUCGCGGAUGGAGCUGAAAUCAGUCGAAGAUACCAGCUGGCUGCAACUGUUUAUUAAAAACACAGCACUGUGCAAACACGAAAGUGGACGUAUACGGUGUGACGCCUGCCCGGUGCCGGAAGGUUAAUUGAUGGGGUUAGCGCAAGCGAAGCUCUUGAUCGAAGCCCCGGUAAACGGCGGCCGUAACUAUAACGGUCCUAAGGUAGCGAAAUUCCUUGUCGGGUAAGUUCCGACCUGCACGAAUGGCGUAAUGAUGGCCAGGCUGUCUCCACCCGAGACUCAGUGAAAUUGAACUCGCUGUGAAGAUGCAGUGUACCCGCGGCAAGACGGAAAGACCCCGUGAACCUUUACUAUAGCUUGACACUGAACAUUGAGCCUUGAUGUGUAGGAUAGGUGGGAGGCUUUGAAGUGUGGACGCCAGUCUGCAUGGAGCCGACCUUGAAAUACCACCCUUUAAUGUUUGAUGUUCUAACGUGGGCCCCUUACCGGGGUUGCGGACAGUGUCUGGUGGGUAGUUUGACUGGGGCGGUCUCCUCCUAAAGAGUAACGGAGGAGCACGAAGGUUGGCUAAUCCUGGUCGGACAUCAGGAGGUUAGUGCAAUGGCAUAAGCCAGCUUGACUGCGAGCGUGACGGCGCGAGCAGGUGCGAAAGCAGGUCAUAGUGAUCCGGUGGUUCUGAAUGGAAGGGCCAUCGCUCAACGGAUAAAAGGUACUCCGGGGAUAACAGGCUGAUACCGCCCAAGAGUUCAUAUCGACGGCGGUGUUUGGCACCUCGAUGUCGGCUCAUCACAUCCUGGGGCUGAAGUAGGUCCCAAGGGUAUGGCUGUUCGCCAUUUAAAGUGGUACGCGAGCUGGGUUUAGAACGUCGUGAGACAGUUCGGUCCCUAUCUGCCGUGGGCGCUGGAGAACUGAGGGGGGCUGCUCCUAGUACGAGAGGACCGGAGUGGACGCAUCACUGGUGUUCGGGUUGUCAUGCCAAUGGCACUGCCCGGUAGCUAAAUGCGGAAGAGAUAAGUGCUGAAAGCAUCUAAGCACGAAACUUGCCCCGAGAUGAGUUCUCCCUGACUCCUUGAGAGUCCUGAAGGAACGUUGAAGACGACGACGUUGAUAGGCCGGGUGUGUAAGCGCAGCGAUGCGUUGAGCUAACCGGUACUAAUGAACCGUGAGGCUUAACCUU